Molecule: unclassified non-coding RNA, 2000 nt
Filed under: synthetic construct
Source: RNAcentral
CACGGCAAUCCGCAAUCCGAACCGGUUACCAUAUCAGUCCUCCGCAUUAGGUGGUAAGCGUUUGCUGCACGGUCACGUUAGGACUAUACGCGUGCAUGAUAUAAGCGGAUAUACGAUCCGCGAAUAUGGCUGAAUCACGUCGACAACUUCGCUAGUUACGCUAGACCCGAGAAUCUGCUUAGCCCUAGGCUACGAAGAGUUAUUAGUGUUAAGACGGACGCAAUAGACCCUACGUAAACAUAAGUCUGUAAUCGGAGGAUGACUCAUUGGCCCAUAGACUCAACAACGCACAGAAGGUCUUGCAACGAACCCUCGGUGAACAUUCCACUCGAACCACGUAUACAUCCGCAUUAGUCGACGUCUAAACCGCUAGGAGCUACUUCUUUACGGCCAAUUACCCGACCUAACGUAGCAUCCGGAUUACAUGGUAACACGGACGACUAGAUAAGCCGACGUGAAGGCAUAGGACUUAUCGGACCCUGGCGCUCAGUACUGAUAGAUCGUCGGACCUAUCUCUUUAAGCGAAACGUUGGGUCGAGUCACGUUUACGGUGACGCUACAGUUUAAGGUCGCCACUUCUACGCUACAUUAACAUCGCUCGAUAACGGUCGACGUAGCCCUUUGUGUAGGUUAGGCGCUAAUGCUUUCCUCAAUACCCGCAAGUUCUCACGCGAAGUUUACAUACAUCGUAGAUCUUAGCCGGCCGAACUUCACAUAUCGGUAGCCCGACUAUCUGUCCUGACAAACGUCUCGCCCUCUGUUCCAACCGUUAGCUGCCACAACGAGAGCGGAAGCGCAUACGACUCUGCUAAAUUCGCGACUGCCGUCUGAAUAUGACCCGCGAACUAGUAAUGCGUGACCUCUCUUAAGUUACCGAUACCGUACUGCCGGGUGUAAGCGUGACCUACUCAUGGCAAUUGACGUGCACGACCUAGGUAGUUCGCAUAGCACUCUAACGUGCGCCUACCGUUUGCGCUAACCUAGACAAACGGUACUACCUUCCCUUACUAUACGGGUUAACAGCAGGCACGGAUGCGAUGCGGCAUAGACCAAAGUGGGACGCACGAUAGUAAUCCGGUCCCUUAUCAAGCGUCACGGCAUUAAUCCGUCCAAAUAUCGAGAACGUACUGACUAUAGUCAACUGGGACCGAUCUAGGAGACUGGUAGUACGGGUAUACCUUUAGGGUUACGCGCUUACCGCAGGCUACAAAGGACGCUUCAGGCCACUCGGGUCGAUAUGCACGACGCGUAGCCAAUCAAGGCGUUAAGUUUCAUAGCGCAGUAAUCGCGUAGAGGGUUCAGCCGUCCAUAUCGUAACAGUCCGGUCACGGAAGGUGUUUAGUACUGAACCGUACGGAGCCUCGAAUGUGGGUAGUUCCUCCCGUAAGUUGUCAAUUGACGCCGCCUAAACACCUGGCGUCUAAGACAUAUCGACUCUCCACAUUCCGACUACUAACCGCACUAUCUUACUAGUAGUACCUAAGCUAUGCACUUCGGAUAUUAACGUUUAGGUCUGCGGAAUCCGUUCAUUCGGAACUCCGUUGAAUGUGAUUCGAGGAAUAGACCGUACAUCGAUGUCGAUAGCCAACAGUGUCCGACUGCUAAUCCAUGCCAUAUGUCCGUCAGACCCGUGGACCACUGCCGACGGAGAUUACGGGUAACGCCAGUGCGACCGGUCGAAUUACGUGUACCGGCCCGGUAACUAACAACCGCGACAUUAAGAUCGUUGCUCAGCCAAGUCCUACGAACGACCUAACUCCACAAAGGCCAUCGCGUCAGGAACACUAGGCAUCCUACAAGUGGAUGAGAGGUCGUUCGCCUCAGCUCGCGAUAUCCACGGUUGCGUACGCAAAUAAUGGUAGGUCGUACUAGUAUGGGACCAGGUGUUGUCCUACGAGUAAGAUCGGUGUGAAUCGCAAACCCUCCGGACUCAGAGUAUCCGGAAUAGGACACGCGUCUGAGUACGUGUACGUUACACGACGUUGUUGAUCGUUUAAGCU